Non-coding RNA from Nerophis lumbriciformis (worm pipefish), 669 nucleotides. The record is from RefSeq and is a predicted model, not a curated record. Lineage: Eukaryota; Metazoa; Chordata; Actinopteri; Syngnathiformes; Syngnathidae.
GCAUGUAAUACUACAGUAGAAUGGGUACUGGCGUGUAAUACUACAGUAGAAUGGAUACUAGCGUGUAAUACUACAGGAAAAUGGGUACUGGCGUGUAAUACUACAGCAACCCAAUAUGAUUAGUUAUGAAGUAUUUCCUUGCAGUACUUUGAGUAUUUGAUUUUGCCAACAGAAGUGUGUCAAUCACAAAGUAUAAAAAUGAAACAUGAUUUUUUUUUCUUCAUUGAUACAAAAACAAGAAAAUUUGAGGCCAAAUGAUUUCAACUUUAAUGUUGUUAAUUAUUAUGAUGUGUUAUUUUGAAGUCAUUGUGUGGUGUUGUAUUAUAUUUAUAUCUUUAGUGUACAGUUGAUGCAGGGCAGUAUUCAUUCCACUUUUACUGGCGUAAAAAUAUUCCUUUUUUUUUUACACGUUGACCUUUUGUCCCUCCUGUCUGUGAAAAGUGCUGAGUCGUGUCAAAUGUCAGCAUGUGACCCAGCAGUGGGAUCUUGGGUCUUUCCUUUUGUGUUUGCCAACAUGAUCAUGUCAAUAACUUGCACCACUUUUAUUCUUCUGGGCCAAACUAUUCCAAUUGUGUACAAUUGAAGGUACUAUUGUGCAUCUGUUGUGUGUACUUCGGUGUGUGUGUGUGUAACAUGAAGUGGACACUUAAUAAACUUGUGCGGUGCUAA